Molecule: long non-coding RNA, 3946 nt
Organism: Bombus huntii
Lineage: Eukaryota; Metazoa; Arthropoda; Insecta; Hymenoptera; Apidae
Exons: 3
Source: RefSeq, a predicted model, not a curated record
CGGUAAGUGGAGCGAUACGAAUACUAGUCGUCAGAUUCCUGGAAAAAAUAUGUUUUUCUUAGCGAUCUUAUUAUGUUUCAAACAAAGAAACAUUACGAUAGGCUAAACAGUGAGAUACGUGUAAAAAGUAAACACGCAUCGAAAUAAAAUGAUGCUACUGGUCAGAAAAUUUUAAUAAAGAGAGAGAGAGAAGGAGAGGGAAAAAGAAGAGGUUAUGUAAAGAGAAGAAGAAAACUAAAUGAAGUGAUUUUCAGAAUGAAUCAAUGAUCCGUAUAAAAGAAACCACUAAGUAUAUUAAUAUAAAGCAAAAUCGUUUAAUCGCACUCAGAAUAACUAUCAAAUUUUAGAUAUGAAAGGUCCAACUUGUUACUUUAAAUGCCUAAAGUAAAUUAAUAUACAUUAUAAAAAUAUAUUUCUAAAUAAUAGCUAACUAAUGUACCAAAUCAUUAUAAUCAGUUGUAUUUAUGAAUAAUGUAUAAAUUAAAUAUCACAAAAAUAAUUAUGAAAAAAUAAUUUGCUCUUUUUAAAAUAUUUUUUGCAAUUUUUAGAAUAUUUUAUUUGAGAUAUACUAGUAUAUUAUAUGCUGUAUAUAUAUAGCACAAUACAUUAUAAUAUAUAUGGUAUACUAUGUAUGUAACAGAGUAGCACAAUUAUUAAUUAUUAUUAUCAUUACGUAUUUAAUAACAAUUGUAACUUUUAACAUGUAAAAUGUAUUUUUAUUUUAAACAGAAAUGUUUAGAACUACAGUAGAAAACAAAUUAAACAGUUGCUGUAAUUACAUGGUUCAAGAUCGUAACGUAACAAAGAAUAUCUAAAUAGCCAGAGGUGGGUGAUAUUUACACUGAAUGUACGGAAGGAAAGUUAUAUUCGACAAAUUUGAUUGAUAUUUAAAAAUCUGUGAUACACGAUGAGUCACUUUAUAAUUCUUAUCACCUGUUCCAUUGAGUGCAACAAAGACAGACUGUACGUGCGUUAAUCAAAAGAGACGAUAGUGUCCGACAAGGAUGAGCUACACUGGUGGUGAUAAAAAAGGAAGACGACAAUGUGCAACAAGGAUGUAUAAGGGCAUAGGCGUAUUGAAAUGCUCCUAGACGUAUUGAGACGCACGUAGAUACGUGGCGAUGCGUAGAAACGCGCGCAAACAGCUGAAGAUGUGUGGAAACGUGCCUGUACCUCGUCUGUGCCACUAGUAUACUUAAUCGAUUGCGAUGUAUACGAUACGAGAAUGAUGUACUCGAAUUGUGUGGCACAAAAAAUUAUUGCAUGUUAUUCUGUACCUCGUUUGUGAUUCUGUAUGAAGAUAUGUCUAUUAUCAUUGGCCACGGUCAUAUAUGAUUUAUAUGACCGUGAUUAUUAACCAAGGACAGAACGUGGUGUAUGGGUUCAUCCUAUACCUAGUUUUUGGCAUUAUAAUAUAAUCGUGAAUCCCAGGAUCGACCAUUGAAACCGGUUUUCAGAUGGAUGCUUUCCUCACUGAAUUAACGGUAGUAAGUCGUUGCAUCUUGUUUCUUUUAUUCUUCGUUACAGGAAAUGCCUUCUGCCAACUUACCGUAAUUUUUAUGUUCUAAUCUUUUGUAAUGAUAAAAUGUGACAAGUUAUUUCUUUGAAUAUUAUUCGUACGGGCAAUUGACCAUAAAAGUAAAUAUAAAUGAGAUAUAUCAUUAGCAGUCUGCAGAUAUUUACGCAAAUUCAUAUUUUUAUGAAUAUAAUUAAAAAAUGGUCAUUUAGAUAAAAGAUUUCAUCAACUAAAUAUGUAUUGCAAAGAGUUCUUAUCUUUGGCUAUUUUAUAUAUUUUUGCAUGUUCAAAUUUCUCAGAAAUGCAUAAAAUUACGCAGUUCAAUUAUUAAGUACACAAAAGUAAAUAAAUGAAAUGUAUUAUUUGCAAUUCAUUAUAGAUUCGUGUACCGGACUUAUACAAAUGGUUAUAUAAGGAAUAUAUUAGGUUUCAAACAAACAUUUAAACAUGUUAUCGCUGCGAGAUCUCUCGCGACCCUUUAUUACCAUUUUUCUUACUUUUUCUUUUAUCACAGUCGAUGCUACGAAAUACAUAUACAGAUUGCUUCUCACGUGUUCAACAAUAAAUAUAGGAAGGAGAGGAAAAAGAAAACUUAGAUACAAUCAUCGUUACCAGAGAACGAACACGAUGUUUUCCAUUAUCACGUUCGAAGUAAAAUGUCCAUUAACGUAAAAUACACGUUUCAGGAGAAAACCAACAGUAAGAGGAGGAGUAAAACUUUCAGCAUUCCAACUAGCAUAUUGAAAGCUGACACUUGUUACUCCGGUACGAAGAAAGCUCUUUACGAUCUCUUAUCGACGGUCACGCAAAUAUAUUACAAUAAUCAAAACCGGGUUGAAUAAUAUGUGAAUCGGUAACUCGUGUAAACUUCUUUUACACCUCCAUGCAAAUGCUGCACCCAUUAUUUCCAGUAUGAUUGCAGUCAUUUACAAUGGCUACGAAAAGUAUUUCCACACCAUUGUAUUUAUUAGAAUAUUUAUAUAUGAAUUAAUUAAAUUUAAGUAUAUGAACAUCUUUGAAUCAAUUUACAUUAUCAAAUUCUACUUCUUUAACAUUGUGACUAUGGAAAAGAAUUCCUAAGAAUUUGUAUAAUAUUUUUUUCGUCACUGUUUCUUCUACCUAGAUUCACAAUUUUACCAAAUUUGAAGAAAUUGACGUAUUUAUAAUACAAUAUAUUGCUAUAAUAUAUUGCAUGAUCCCAUAGGUUGUUUCAUACCUUCAUAUGACUACGAAAAUCUGAUAUUACGAAAAUGAAAUGUAGAAUCUGAUAACAAAAGAGCUUCAUUGAAAAAUGAAGAUAUAUGCAAAUAUUUGUUGUAACCACUGCGCUUCCUUUAUGUGUGGUUACCCGAUUUUGAUUAGAUAAAAUGAAAGAAAGAAAUAUAUAUGUAUAUGAACGAGGCGUUGUCGUCACGACAAAAGCAUCUGUUACAAAAUAAAAUUGCAAUAUGCAAAAAUGAUAAUUCCAUUGUUCUUCGCGUCUGUGAUAAUUGAGUGAAAAAUACUCAAUGAUCUCAGACACGAAAGUUAAUAUGUAUUAACAACAUUAUACAAUUGUGUUACUUCACUUAGGUGAUUAAAAAGGCACAUAGGCGUGCAUAGUCCGAGGCGUAUCGAGCGGUUUUCUCUCUGUGCUUCGAAAAGUGACUUAGAAGGAAGAUUACUAUUAUCGUGUGGGUAAUGUAAAAUGGCACCUCUGCCCACGCUCGUCUCUUCGUGUUUGAAAACAUCUCGAAAAUACUUUGUUUAAAUUUAAUUAUUUUGUUUAAUUUUAUAGAAGAAUAAUUCCACGUUUUUCCAAUCCACAAGUUAAUUUCGAGAAAAGAUUGAUACGCGUAAUCAAACAUUAGGCUAACGUUAGCUGCAUUUUCACAUUGAUGGCCGAUGACACUCGGCAGCCUCGGACAUUUUAACAAACUAUACAAACCGCAAACAUCUAUAUUGAACGUCACACCCGUACAUACGUGUAAAGAUAUACGUAUAUAGUGUAUAUAAUUAUUUAUACGCGAAACAUAAUCAUCAUACAGCAUUCCAUAAACAAUGGUAUCUGUCCGAUUUACUAUCAGAUCCUUGGUGGAUCGAUCAAUAGUGGACGGGCCUGUUCUAAAAUCUUUGUAAAACGUUUUAAAAAUUACGAUUUAAAAAAUUUCCUAUAAACCGCUGAAAUUUGAGUGAAUCUUCCGUAUUAGUGUGAAUAUAUGUACGUAUAGGCACGUUUCUCGUUUCUGAAUCCGUUAAAACAAGCAGUCGCAAAAAUUUUCAACUAAAUAUCUAUAGUCUCUACUCUAUGAUACGGUUCAAGCGAAAUCCUCCCGUUUCAACUACGAUUUUUUAAUUGCGCUUGGAAUCGAAGUGAAAUGCUCACGCAUUGCUUUGUUCUUUCGCGAUUAUCGUCGAGAUCAUGAACAAUCGUUAACACGUCUAUCGUUC